This 619-nucleotide ribosomal RNA is filed under the name Renicola lari. RNAcentral's name for it is "eukaryotic LSU rRNA". The stretch from base 371 to 619 matches the Rfam family "Eukaryotic large subunit ribosomal RNA", at positions 1 to 229 of the family's 3401-position model. Lineage: Eukaryota; Metazoa; Platyhelminthes; Trematoda; Plagiorchiida; Renicolidae. The record is from RNAcentral.
CAACUGUGUGAAUUAAUGUGAACUGCAUACUGCUCUGAACAUUGACAUCUUGAACGCACAUUGCGGCCAUGGGUUAGCCUGUGGCCACGUCUGCCCGAGGGUCGGCUUAUAAACUAUCACGACGCCCAUAAAGUCGUGGUUUGGGUUCUGCCAGCCGGCAUGAUUUCCUUGACACUUGUCUUGUCGAGGCGUCGGAUCUAUGGCUUUGCCCCAAUAAAUGUGUCCGGACAACCAACACACACAUGUUGUUGUUGGCGGAGUCGUGGCAAAAUAUAUAUGUGAAUGCGCGCUCCGUCUGAUAUGUAUAUAUAUGUGUAUAUGUGUGUGUGGGGGUUUGUGACAUGUUGCCUACCUACCUAUGACCAAUUCCUGACCUCGGAUCAGACGUGAUUACCCGCUGAACUUAAGCAUAUCACUAAGCGGAGGAAAAGAAACUAACAAGGAUUCCCUUAGUAACGGCGAGUGAACAGGGAUUAGCCCAGCACCGAAGCCUGUGUCCGUUUGGGCACUAGGCAAUGUGGUGUUCAGGUCGUUCCGCAGAGGUACUGCUCCAUCCUAAGUCCAGCAAUGAGUACGGUGGUACGGACAUGGCCCACAGAGGGUGAAAGGCCCGUGGGGG